Molecule: long non-coding RNA, 1962 nt
Organism: Cyclopterus lumpus (lumpfish)
Lineage: Eukaryota; Metazoa; Chordata; Actinopteri; Perciformes; Cyclopteridae
Exons: 3
Source: RefSeq, a predicted model, not a curated record
UCCUCCUCCUCCUCCUCCCCCCCCCCGUUUUGUUCCAAAAUGAAGUUAAGGAGGAGUUCCAAACAAUGCUUAUUUACCUUCGGUAACCUAGACUCUGUCUCCUUAGUGUCUAGUAAACACUCCGAAUAAAACAAUGCUUUUGUAUUUUUCUAUUUGAAGAAGCAGCUAUAGAAUUAGACAUUUUAUUAUAGGCUCUUUUCCUUUUCUUUUUUUUUUAGCUAGAAGUUCUGCUUUAGCGUCAGCAGUGAGGUCAUGAUUCAGUCUCGCGCUUGGUUUCCCAGAAACUCUCAGGAAUAACAGCUCACGUGCUGUGCUCCAGUCCUCCACAGGGGGCGCCAGAUUAUGUGCAACUUCAUACAGCACAUCUUUAUUUCCCAAAAGCAAUAGUUGGUAACCAGGGGCAGCAGAUUAUUAUUAUUAUGGUUAUUGUUGUGAAGUUGUAUGCCUGAGCAUAUGGUACGAUUGUUUUUAAGUACUGUCCUAAGAUAUACAACAAAAUCAAGAGCUCUCAGCCCACUGCGGUGACCCUAACUCUUCCCUCGAACCCACCCACCCAUACAGUGAGAAUUUCUUCUUUAAAAGAAGGUGACUUCAGAUUCUUCAUUGUAAAGACUAGUCCUAUCUUUUUGGGAAAUGGUAUCUUUUUGCAAUGUGUGUGUGACUGAUAUCCACAUCAGAUCCCUUCCUGCUGACUCAGCGAUGACCACCAUACGCCUCAGGUGGUUAAUUGGAGGACACAUUAACUCCUGUGGUGUCAUGUCCAGGCUUUGCCAUCCUUUAACCAACUCACGGCCUGGAAGUGAAAAUCCGACUUGGCUCAGAAUCGCUCUGAAAGCUUCUCGGCACGUUUGACCAAACCUCGACUGGGAGCUGCGAAGGAGGGGAUGGGGCAACGGACUGGUGCCACAGAGCCUGAUUGGGUUUUGGUAAAAGCCAGCUGUGUCCACGGAGAAAGUCUAUCGUGUCAUCAGCGUGAGGCAUGUAUUCAGGGUCUGAGUCUCCUCCGGGACCAUAAUGCCAUCAAUGAAAAGGAAGGGAGAAAACCCCCACAGCAUGGUUCAGCUCAGCGUCCACUGUGCACAUUAUUACAGUGUGCCGACUUGGCUUUUAGCAUGUAUCCUGUCGUUUCCCCGGGCGGUUGUACUUUUGAUACAAAUACGCUCCAGUAAGGAGGAAGGCACCUGUAAGAGCCCCCGAGACGUCAAGAGAAAAUCAAACAAACAAACAAACAAACAAACCAAAGGACAGUGUGUACUUAACCGGAGGUAAAAACACUCAAAUGGUUGUUCAGUGACCAUGGCGAUGAGGAAGCCUUCUACCCUGUAAAUGUAGGUCGCCGCGGCACCCCGGUCCAAACAUCUGAGAGUGUGAGUGUUGGCAGUGACAGAUUUGGCUCUGUAGGCGAUGUGUGUGUGUGUGUGUGUGUGUGUGUGUGUGUGUGUGUGUGUGUGUGUGUGUGUGUGUGUGUCCCUUUCUGUGUCGCCUCCAUGCUUUCUUAGGUUUCUAAAUGUGUAUCCUAAUACUCUAGGCUUGACACAAGAAGUGAAAGAGUUUCAAUUCACAUGAAAUGGACUUGUAUUUAAAGGCCUCACAUAACAGUUUUUUGCUCUCAUCCACUGUUCAGGCUUCCCCACACUGACUCAGAGGUUGACUCUAGCUCAGGGUUCCAGUAAACCCACUGGGGUACGACGGGGUAGAGGCGCAGCCCUCGGCUGGAUAGAGGGGUGAAAAGCAGAAAAAUGUUAUUCAACAAAAUAUUUUGGAGCCGCAUGGGUUUUUCGCAGAUUAUCACCGAACAAGGAGAUCUUUUAAAAAAAAUAAAAAAUAAAAAAAAACUCCCGCGUGUGUUUUGCCAAUUCUGAGAAAUUGCUUGUUGUUUUGCGUUGGCGAUUAAGAAAGGCGCCCUUAUUGUUUGCACAGCUGAAUACAGUGAACCCCUUGACUUCAGGUCGAGUCAACAAC